UUGGUUCCUUUGUUCUGAUGUUUUUUUCCCUCCCAAUAAGGAGGAAAGAACGGAGUGGAGUCUUUUGAUUCAUCUGCCCAUAGUCUUACUAGAUUGGCCAGCUAGGUACAUGGGGAGAGAGGGAUGCGAAGGACUGACUAGGAUCCUGCAGCCAAGCAGAGGAUGAGAGCCCACGUCCUGGGCCUCCCAGGCUCUCCCUCUUGUCACCAGACCCUACUAGCUCAUGGCGCCCCUGUCUCCCACAGUAUACAGCUCUGUCUGUUCCCCACGUCCCUUUGAUCAAUCCCCUAUUUUGCUUGACUAAGAGUCAAAUACGUGAGGAGUGCACACAAAAGAACUAAGCUCACUUAAAUCACUGGUGGGUAAUUUGAUAGAUGAGUUGGCCAGCACCCAUUGCGGGAAUUAAGUGAAGCCGAGCAGUGAGAUGCUGGGAAACAACCUUGAGUGACUGUGGUAAACAGGUGGCCUCAUUUUACCCCGGGGGCAGGGCCACCCCCAGCUCUACAGCUCAGACUGGAAGGCUAUGUGCUGUGUCUGCCAGGUGGGCCGUUGACAUUUCUCCCCCAGACUCUUCCUCCAAAAGGCAGGACAAAUGUCUCUGCAGCAGGCCCUCAGGCAGAACCAGCAGCCCCUUGGUGCCCACUGUGACUCACCUGGGCUUAGGGCAUCUGACUGUCAAGGAGGACAUGACAGACACAGGGUUCUCCUGCGUUCUUGCCCACCGGCCUUAUUUCCUGGAGCCCACCCAGGUAAGAACUCCAGUACACACUCUUGCUUGUUGGCUCACAGGGAACGCAGAGGGAACAAGGGUCUUUCAAGAGAUGGGAGUGGUGUAAUAUAAACGGGUGUUUUAUGGGCCAUGUGCAGAAAUCGACCGCUGCACCAAUGGGAAGAAGAGCUAGUUGCAAAGGAGAAACUUCUAGGUCCUUUCAUCGUGGUGAGGAUUGUUAGCUUUGACUUCAGAUAAGCAGAACAAACAAGCCUCAGCCCAAGUGGGAACUGGUUCUGCCCCCUUUCUUUGCUUUUCUAAGUCAUCAAAGCCAAGUUCCUAAAGCCUAACUGUCUCACGGUACUUUCUGAUGGUUUCAUUGUUUUGUUUAUUGUGCUUAUGACAAGUGCUAACAGACCGCUUUCAAUGUGUGUUGAUAUUUCGGUUGUUUUUGAAUGGCCCUUCUGUUUUUCUGCAUCUGGACAGCAUUAGAGUCUGGCCCCAGGGAACCACUGGGUUCCUAUAAAAAUGUACCAGGUCCCCUUAUGCAGAAAACAUUGGUUAUGGCAAGAUCAGACACCCCAUCUGGGCAGGAACAAACACUAAAAAUUAGAGCAGAAUCAUGAGGCAGUAUUCAGCAGCUGGGGAAGACAGGCCUGAGUUGGGAAGAGGCCAACAGGUAUUGCCAACUGGACUGCGGGUGUUCUCUUUCUGUCCAUGGACAUAUUGUGAUCUUCCUGUGGGAAGGACUCUCGCUACCAGAGUGCCUGGCACAGGGCAAUGCCACUAAAUCUGUUGUUGAUAGGUUCUCUGUCUCUUUCUCUCUGCCCCCUUAUCCCAGGUUGCUGGUCAACCACCAGCAUAGAGUCCAAAUAGGGGGCUCCUGGGGACCGGACAAAGAACAAGAGCUGGAAGCGGGAGAACAAUCAGGAGUCCAGGAGGGGACUGGAAGGGGCAAGGCAGCCCCAGGAAGGCCCCAUUCUCCAGCUCCCUGAUCUGCUUCUCUUCAUUGCUCUCUUGAGGAGCUUCUAAAAAGUUGAAGUGGGAAAGGGAAGGGUAGAAAUGUCCUUCUAAGAUUCUGCCUUUGGUUUUCAUGGCCUUUCCUUUCUACUCCUGCUUUGUACCCUUUCCUUCUCUGCCAACUCUGCCACAUACUGCACUUUAGGAUACUCAACCCAGUUUCUGAGCCUGGUCUCUUGGGGUAAAGACCAAGCUCAAAGGGAGCGAGUUACACAUGCAAUCUCACUUUAUAAGCUUAGGACAAAUUCUAAUCCAUUUCUUCAAGGCUUUCUCUGUUUUCCCUUGCAAGCUGGAUGAGUUUUUCUUUCACCCGUGUGUCUUAAAAACCAGAUGCCGCUAAGUUGAUUCUGACUCAUGGUGACCUCAUGUGUGUCAGAGAAGAACUGUGCUCCAUAGGGUUUUCAAUGGCUGACUCGUCAAAAGUAGAUUUCCAGGUCAUUCUUUCAAGACACCUUUGGGUGGACUUGAAUCUCCACCCUUUUGGUUAGCAGCUGAGUGCAUUAACUAACUGUUUGCACCACCAAAGGACUCCCCAUGUGUCUUACCAGCUUGUAAAUGGUUGUCUCUUGCUUGGUUUCAGAGGGACCAGGACUCCUCACUGAACUUCAAGUAUCUCUGUGGCUCAGUUUGCAAAGGCCCUGUCUCCUUCCUGUGAACUAGCAGGCUCCCCUGAACUCACUCUAAGGGUCAUCGAGAUGGAGAUUGAAGUGGGCUACAGACAGAAAUUGCUUCGGGGCCUUGAUUCUGGCAAAGGAGAUGAAGUAAGACUCUGGGUCCAGGGCCAGGCAGAUCUUGACAGGCUGUGCUGAUUGGCCCUGAGAAGGUGAGCGUGCCCUCCACCAGAGGAGCAGGCUGGUUUUGACAUAUGGGCAUUACCAGAAUUUUCUAUCAUAAAGACAUUUUCUAUUUUCCAAUGUGAUUUCCUGGAUAGGCAAGGUAAAGAACUGUGGUCCUGUCCCUGCCACACCGUGUCUGUGUGUAUGUAUAUGUGUAUGUGUGUGUGUGCAAGUGUGAUCGCUUGUCAUUUUGAAAAAUUUCUAACUUUAUGUAGCAGUUUCUUUCUCACCAGGGUCUCUCCUGUGUAAAACUUUACUUUUAUAGCUUUGGCUGUUAAUUCAUCAUGGGCACCACCAUCAAUAAAUAUUUAUUGAGCUUUCACUGGGCAUGGCAUGUUGAAAUAAGAACUACAUAUUUGAUUCAAGAGGAGUCAAUAGCAGAUGGGGGUAGACUUGGGGAGGGGUGGAAGAAGCAAUCAUUUAGGUCUCUUCCAACCUGGAGAUUUUGUGACUUUGUAUCUGAAGUGUUGGAACCCACUUGGCACACAUUAGGCCAACAGCGUAGACAAGAGAACAUGGCUACCAGAGAUACAUGGUGGACAGCAAGGCAGUCAGUCACCUUCAGAAUGCCCAACCCAGUGUCAGCCAGCACAUGCCUUCAGCAUAUAUUCCCACUAGCCUAUGUCUCUGCUUUGGGAUUCAAGGCUGCAAAGGAGUAUAGCGAAUCUUCUCGGCCUUUUCCAUGGUGUCCGACAAAAGUAAAUAUUUGCUGAUUGAAUGAUGGUUUGCCAUUUGAUUCUGGAAUUUAAAAGAAGCACAGAUCUGCAAAAACCUGGAGCCUGUUGAUGCUCCCUUUUGAAAUGUUAUCAGAGGGCAGCCUGAUGGGAGUCCCCACUGGGUGGGUGCUCUUGGACAGUGUGGGCUGGAAGGAAGGCCAUCUGGAGGGAGGGCUGCGUGCCUCUCGUAGAGCCCUAGUUAAACAGACCAGAACAGCCUGCCUGCCACAGCGGUAACUCAGGCCUCCUGGGGGAUUUUCUUCAACAUUAUGAAGAUGAACAUGGCUCUGAGAAUUCCCUUUGGAACUGGUCUUUAUGCUAAUUGCCUCCAAAUUUAUGGGAAGAGGGGCAGGCCGUGGUGAGAGGCUCUGGAGUGGAGUCUGUGGGCACGCUGCAGGAGGGAUGUAAACAGGCAGAUCUGAGCCUCAAGGGGUCAAGAUGUUCAGUUUCCCAUUGUCAGGCAGGCAAGGUAUUAUUAUUACUAUCCUUAUUCCCAUUAUACAAAAGAGGAGCUGAAACUGAGAUGAAGGGUGGUUGAGUGUUUUUCUUUUUUUUUUAUCCCCGUUGUACAAAAGAGGAGCUGAAACUGAGAUGAAGGGUGGUUGAGUGCCCAAGGUAGCACUAUCAGGAGGGCAUCCACUGAGCCCAGGUGAAGAGGAGAUGUAGAGUGCAGGUCUCUUGCCUCCAGGCCAUGGUUUUUCCACUACCCUGAAGGUAGAGGUGAGGAUAACUCUCAGGAGGUCCCUUCACCUGGUUUAUUGCCUGAAGGGGUGGGCAAUCAAGCAGAGGGGAACCUCCCUUCCUCAUAAAAGAUACUAUCUAGUGUCUCACAAGCUGCUUUUCCCUGAGGUUAGGUGGUGGUCCCAGGGCUGAUAGAGAAGCAAGGACCAGGGGGAUAUUGCCUGCUUCCACAUUUACUGCUAGGCACCUCGACUCUCCAAAGCUCAGUUUCCAUGUCUGUAAAAUGAAGAUAAUGAUAGUAACUAUCUCAUCAGAUUGGUGGGGGGCAGUGAAUGAAAUAAUGAGCAUGAGGAGAUUUGCAUUAUGCCUGGAAUAUAGUCUAGUGGUGAGGGAUGCAGGCUGGACCUGGCUGCCUGAGCCCAGAGAGGCUCACUGACUCUGGUUCCACAGCUAGGGAGGAGCAGAGUCAUGGUGAGUUCCCAAGACAGCACCCUUUCCAGGCUGCUCCAAGCUGGGUCCUUUGAUCAGGGACUGGGGUGGAGCUUUCGUCAUAGGAUGUGGCUACCUUGGAGGUUGGGACUAUGUGACUUCCUAGUCCCCUGGAAUAGCUGCUACUUGGUAAGGGGCAAAGCACUGCAGGGACUCCAGGAGACAAUGCUUGCUUCCCUCUGGAGACCAGCCCUGGGGUGUGCCUGAGCAGCUGCCUGGUCUGCCCACAAUCCAGUAGGGAAGAUCACCUCCAGGCAGAGCGGAAGCCAAUAGGCCAGCCAUGGUGGGGGUGCCCCCGGCGUCCCGGGGAUCUUGCCAUGGCUUUCUGUCAAGCCUCUGUUGGUGCCUGGUUCCCCCAUAAAGCAUUCUGUACCGGGAGAGUUAAUCAUGCUGUUAGGUAAGCAUUAUGGCACUUUUAUGGCAGCUUUGAAGCUAAUCUGUCACUAAUGCCUGCUGGAUUAUCAUGGUUUCUUGCAGUUGUGAUUCAUUAACUCGAGGCCUGAUAGUAAUUCUAUUAAACAUCUCCCACCACUGUUUGCCCCAACAUGUCCCCAGUCUCUGUUCUAUUGUACUGCCACAGUGGCGUGACUGGCAACCUGUGUGGUCUCCAAAAAAGGAGCCCUAAGAAGAUGGACAGGUCCCCCCGCCAGCUAGAAACUGCCCAAUGACUUGUCCUUCCCCCGCCCAAGUCCAGAACACAUCUCCUCCCCAUUCCAGCUCACGCUGCCAAAAAGCUGGAUGUUUCUCUUCAGCUGACUUUAGCGUUUCUCCAAGCUAGGUCACAGUGCCUUUCCUGAAACCCCACCACUGCCUCUGAGAGGGCAGGCCACAAGGAAGUGAAGAGUGCAACAGGAUAAACUGGUGGGUCUCAGUGUGGGACAAGCACCCACAGCUCCACAGUUGACUGCUAGGUCUAGCUGGGCCCACUUGGGGCAGAAGUGGGUUUGGGGCUGGGAGAGAGAAAUGGGAGCACUCCUAAAGAAUCCCGGUCACACUACCGUUCCCACUCUUGCUCCAGGCGAACAGGACUCAGGUUGAGGAGGCAGCAGGACACGGGGGAAGGAAUGGUGGCACUCCUUUGACUGCCGGGCCUGCCAGCAUUAAUAAAAGUCUUUGGUGAGGUUUUUCAGAAAGAAAUGGUUUUCUUAGGCUGGCUGUUCUCUGCGGAAGGUCAACUUCGGGGCAUGGCUUGACGGAUGGGCUGUGAGCAGGCAUGAAAAAGAGAGCUGGGGAGAAAGGGGCCGGUGGGGGUGGGCUGGAGGAAGUCCGGUGUUGAACAGGAGAGCGGCUCUGCCCUGGUGCCAGAGGAGGACAGGAGGAUGGGACAAACCAGUGAUUGAAGCUUGUCCAUACGCUGCCCCUCAUUCUGUAUCAUCAAUCAAGCCCAGUGUGGAUAUCUCAACAAUUUGUAAUCCCCUCUGCCCCCUCUGACGUGCUCAAGGGCGCGCCAGCGCUGACCCUUCUCGCCCUCAUCCAGGCCUCUGCUGCUGCCUGAGUUGAUGGAUGGCUUCUCCUCCCACCAGGCUCUCUUCGCUCACAGCUGGGGAAACACCGGCAGGUAGCAGUGGGGUCAAACCGGGGGCAGCCAGAAUGACCCAGUCACUGAGGCCAAGGGGCCCUGUGUUCCCACCGGCAGCAGGUGAUGCCAGGCAUACAGAAAUGAAACCGAGAGAGGAAGCAAGGAAAUAAUUUUCAACACAAAGAGGAAAAAAAAGAACCUCAAAACCCUCACUACAUCUUGAGGUCUUCCAAGUCUUCUAAAAAUCUUCAAAGCGGCGCAAUGUCUUCUGUGCACAGCUACAACAUUGCUCCGCUCCAUCUGUGUUUUCUCUCGCCUCUGUGCUUUAAGAACCUCCGAAAUAAGAAACAAGUUAAAAAAGACAUAGAUGCGUACAUAGCGAGGCUGAGAAAGAGGGGACAGUGCUCUGCAGCCUGGAUUUGCUUUUUGCCAGUGUUUGUUGUAGGAAAAAGUGUAUAAAAAUAACUCUUAGACAACUGGAGUAAAUAUUCUCAACACAUCAGCCGAGGAAGUAGUCAGGAUCCAAUGUUUCCAUCCUUCCUUGUCUGGGCAGAGAUGCCAGGAAAAGAAAAGAAAGGCCCUCUGCCCAGUUUUCCAGCUUCUGGGUUGUAUUCCUGCUUCUUUGCUCAUGGGUGAGUCUGGUUCUUUGUGUGGGGGUUUGAAAAUUGUUCUGAGGUGAGAAAUGGCCAGUGGUCCAACCACGAGGGGCUUCUUUGAGGAGCUGCCCUCUGACAGCCUAGAGGCCUUUCAAAAACAGGAAGUGAAUAGUAGCCCAGGUAUGGUCUGUGUGUAUGUAUAUGUAUUCGUGUGCAUGUGAGUGUGUGCAUAUGUGUGUAUCUGUGUGUGCAUGUGUGCUUAUGUAUGUAUAUGUGUGUAUGUGUGCAUAGUGUUAUGUGUAUAUAUGCAUAUGUAUGCAUGCACGUGUGUGUGUGUAUAUAUGCAUGUGUGUGUGUAUAUAUGCAUGUAUGUGUGCAUGUGAGUAUAUGUGUGUGUGUGGUGCUGUAGAGGUCUGUGCCUGCUGCAGAGAGGGUCAGGUGAGAAUUCAGCUCAGCAUUGCUGAACUCAUUCUUGGCCUUGAAUGUUGGGGAAACCUGCUCUCCAACACCCCUGCAGCCUGGUACCCAGGCAGCCUGGCACAGACACCACAGACGACUUCCUCCUGGAACUUUCUGUGGCUGAGUAGGAGGGUCAAGAAGGGAGUCUUCAGGCAAAGGAACAGUAGAAAGUGAGGACAGAGGGGAAGGAGCGUCUGUAGAAUGGUAGUGGGUUGUGGAGGAAGAGAAAGAUGAUGAAGAAGGGACAUGGAGCAAAACGGAUAUUGAAAACCUGGCGGAAGGAGAAAGGAGGAGAGAGGAAAGAGCUGAGAGAAAGAUCCAAGAGAUGAUCACGGGGCAGGAGUCAGCAGGGAAAGAAAGAGGGAAAAGAAAUUUAAUGAGGGCAACUUGAAGGCCAGCUUUAACCAACAGCUGGCAGGGUGCCUGGUUUGAUCUCCUUGUGAGUCAGGCGGUUUGAUUAAUCAUGGCCUGUGGAGGAGGAUGGACACCUGGCCUCACUCUGAGCUCUUUGAUCUCUGGGAUUUCUCAGGGCCUGUGGGAGGGGUGUUGCAUGAAUGUGUGCACUCCCAGGGCACUCAGGGAGCUGGGGGCUCCCUGAGAAAGAAGCAGGAGAGGCAGACAGGGAGAAAGCGGCCCUCAGAGAAGCUAGGAGAAAGAGAAUCAGCAAGCUGGGGGUGGGGCACCAGGGUGGGGGUAAGGGGGUAGUCCAGGAAUGGCGAGGAAGAAAUUCAAAAGGAGCUGGGGGCAUCAGGAGUGACUAAAACUGCCCUUCAGGAAGGUUUGCUGAAGGAAAUGGACUGGAGAGGGAGUCCACUUGGAGGCGAAAGUUCACUCGUGAUUUCGGGGAUGAUUUGGCAAUGAGAAUUUUCCCCCCUCUCUUUUCCUACAAGGGAAUAACUAAACAGUUAAGGAGAGCCAGGUGAAGGAGAACAACCUUUUGUACAAAAUUGUGUUCUCUUGCUUGUGGCUCCAGGGCUGGCUAGUUUAAUCGAGGAAGGAGCUCUUCUCGGGGUGUGUGUGAGGAAAACAAGAGUUAUUGGGCUGCCUGGAACUGGCUCCAUUUUAUACAUGUUGGAUGGAAACAGAUUUGAGAAAAGAAAGUGACAUAUUGCCCAAAAAAAAAAAAAAAAAAGAAACC
Molecule: long non-coding RNA, 8163 nt
Organism: Loxodonta africana (African savanna elephant)
Lineage: Eukaryota; Metazoa; Chordata; Mammalia; Proboscidea; Elephantidae
Exons: 2
Source: RefSeq, a predicted model, not a curated record